This 253-nucleotide ribosomal RNA is filed under the name uncultured bacterium. RNAcentral describes it as "partial 16S ribosomal RNA". It matches the Rfam family "Bacterial small subunit ribosomal RNA", at positions 524 to 776 of the family's 1533-position model. The record is from RNAcentral.
UACGAAGGGGGCUAGCGUUGUUCGGAAUUACUGGGCGUAAAGCGCGCGCAGGCGGUCCUUUAAGUCAGUUGUGAAAGCCCAGAGCUCAACUCUGGAACGGCCUUUGAAACUAGAGGACUUGGGUACGGGAGAGGUGAGUGGAAUUCCGAGUGUAGAGGUGAAAUUCGUAGAUAUUCGGCAGAACACCAGUGGCGAAGGCGGCUCACUGGGGCGUAACCGACGCUCAGGCGCGAAAGCGUGGGGAGCAAACAGG